RNAcentral lists this ribosomal RNA (385 nucleotides) under uncultured bacterium. RNAcentral's name for it is "bacterial SSU rRNA". It matches the Rfam family "Bacterial small subunit ribosomal RNA", at positions 355 to 752 of the family's 1533-position model. The record is from RNAcentral.
UGGGGAAUAUUGGGCAAUGGAGGAAACUCUGACCCAGCGACGCCGCGUGCGGGAUGAAGGCCUUCGGGUUGUAAACCGCUUUCAGUAGGGAAGAAGCGAAAGUGACGGUACCUACAAAAGAAGCACCGGCUAACUAUGUGCCAGCAGCCGCGGUAAUACAUAGGGUGCAAGCGUUGUCCGGAAUUAUUGGGCGUAAAGAGCUCGUAGGUCGUUUGUUACGUCGGAUGUGAAAACCUGAGGCUCAACCUCAGGCCUGCAUUCGAUACGGGCAAACUAGAGUUUGGUAGGGGAGACUGGAAUUCCUGGUGUAGCGGUGGAAUGCGCAGAUAUCAGGAGGAACACCAAUGGCGAAGGCAGGUCUCUGGGCCAAUACUGACACUGAGGA